UGGGGGAAUUUUGGACAAUGGGCGCAAGCCUGAUCCAGCAAUGCCGCGUGCAGGAUGAAGGCCUUCGGGUUGUAAACUGCUUUUGUACGGAACGAAAAGGCUCUGGCUAAUACCUGGGGCACAUGACGGUACCGUAAGAAUAAGCACCGGCUAACUACGUGCCAGCAGCCGCGGUAAUACGUAGGGUGCGAGCGUUAAUCGGAAUUACUGGGCGUAAAGCGUGCGCAGGGCGGUUUUGUAAGACAGAGGUGAAAAUCCCCCGGGCUCAACCUGGGAACUGCCUUUGUGACUGCAAGGCUGGAGUGCGGCAGAGGGGGGAUGGAAUUCCGCGUGUAGCAGUGAAAUGCGUAGAUAUGCGGAGGAACACCGAUGGCGAAGGCAAUCCCCCUGGGGCCUGCACUGACGCUCAUGCACGAAAGCGUGGGGGAGCAAACAGGAUUUAGAUACCCCUGGUAGUCCACGCCCUAAAGCGAAUGUCAACUGGCUUGUUGGGUCUUAAUUGACUCAGUAAACGAAGCUAACGCGU
Molecule: ribosomal RNA, 526 nt
Filed under: uncultured bacterium
Lineage: Bacteria
Description: partial 16S ribosomal RNA
Rfam family: Bacterial small subunit ribosomal RNA
Source: RNAcentral